RNAcentral lists this ribosomal RNA (567 nucleotides) under uncultured Bacillota bacterium. RNAcentral's name for it is "bacterial SSU rRNA". It matches the Rfam family "Bacterial small subunit ribosomal RNA", at positions 273 to 837 of the family's 1533-position model. Lineage: Bacteria; Bacillati; Bacillota. The record is from RNAcentral.
ACUACGAUGGAUAGGGGUUCUGAGAGGAAGGUCCCCCACAUUGGAACUGAGACACGGUCCAAACUCCUACGGGAGGCAGCAGUGAGGAAUAUUGGUCAAUGGACGCGAGUCUGAACCAGCCAAGUAGCGUGAAGGAUGACUGCCCUAUGGGUUGUAAACUUCUUUUAUAUGGGAAUAAAGUGGUCCACGUGUGGAUUUUUGUAUGUACCAUAUGAAUAAGGAUCGGCUAACUCCGUGCCAGCAGCCGCGGUAAUACGGAGGAUCCGAGCGUUAUCCGGAUUUAUUGGGUUUAAAGGGAGCGUAGGCGGAUUGUUAAGUCAGUUGUGAAAGUUUGCGGCUCAACCGUAAAAUUGCAGUUGAUACUGGCAGUCUUGAGUGCAGUAGAGGUGGGCGGAAUUCGUGGUGUAGCGGUGAAAUGCUUAGAUAUCACGAAGAACUCCGAUUGCGAAGGCAGCUCACUGGAGUGUAACUGACGCUGAUGCUCGAAAGUGUGGGUAUCAAACAGGAUUAGAUACCCUGGUAGUCCACACAGUAAACGAUGAAUACUCGCUGUUUGCGAUAUACAGU